This 579-nucleotide ribosomal RNA is filed under the name uncultured bacterium. Its description in RNAcentral is "bacterial SSU rRNA". It matches the Rfam family "Bacterial small subunit ribosomal RNA", at positions 112 to 704 of the family's 1533-position model. The record is from RNAcentral.
AACACGUGAGUAACCUGCCCUUGACUCUGGGAUAAGCCUGGGAAACUGGGUCUAAUACCGGAUACGACCAUCUGGCGCAUGUCAUGGUGGUGGAAAGCUUUUGUGGUUUUGGAUGGACUCGCGGCCUAUCAGCUUGUUGGUGGGGUAAUGGCCUACCAAGGCGACGACGGGUAGCCGGCCUGAGAGGGUGACCGGCCACACUGGGACUGAGACACGGCCCAGACUCCUACGGGAGGCAGCAGUGGGGAAUAUUGCACAAUGGGCGCAAGCCUGAUGCAGCGACGCCACGUGAGGGAUGACGGCCUUCGGGUUGUAAACCUCUUUCAGUAGGGAAGAAGCGAAAGUGACGGUACCUGCAGAAGAAGCGCCGGCUAACUACGUGCCAGCAGCCGCGGUAAUACGUAGGGCGCAAGCGUUAUCCGGAAUUAUUGGGCGUAAAGAGCUCGUAGGCGGUUUGUCGCGUCUGCUGUGAAAGACCGGGGCUCAACUCCGGUUCUGCAGUGGGUACGGGCAGACUAGAGUGCAGUAGGGGAGACUGGAAUUCCUGGUGUAGCGGUGAAAUGCGCAGAUAUCAGGAGG